UCGGGAAUUUUGGGCAAUGGGCGCAAGCCUGACCCAGCAACGCCGCGUGAGGGAUGAAGGCCCUCGGGUCGUAAACCUCUGUCGGGAGGGAAGAAAGCGGUUCGGCGAAUAGUCGGGCCGUCUGACGGUACCUCCAAAGGAAGUGCCGGCUAACUCCGUGCCAGCAGCCGCGGUAAUACGGAGGGCACAAGCGUUGUUCGGAAUUAUUGGGCGUAAAGCGGGUGUAGGCGGCUUGGCAAGUCGGGUGUGAAAUCCCGGGGCCCAACCCCGGAACUGCACUCGAAACUGUCUCGCUAGAGUCCCGGAGGGGGUGGCGGAAUUCCCGGUGUAGAGGUGAAAUUCGUAGAUAUCGGGAGGAACACCAGUGGCGAAGGCGGCCACCUGGACGGUGACUGACGCUCAGACCCGAAAGCGUGGGGAGCAAACAGGAUUAGAUACCCCCGUAGUCC
Molecule: ribosomal RNA, 449 nt
Filed under: uncultured prokaryote
Description: bacterial SSU rRNA
Rfam family: Bacterial small subunit ribosomal RNA
Source: RNAcentral